CCUACGGGUGGCAGCAGUGAGGAAUAUUGGUCAAUGGGCGCGAGCCUGAACCAGCCAAGUAGCGUGAAGGAUGACUGCCCUACGGGUUGUAAACUUCUUUUAUAAGGGAAUAACGUGAGGUACGUGUGCCUUUUUGUAUGUACUUUAUGAAUAAGGACCGGCUAACUCCGUGCCAGCAGCCGCGGUAAUACGGAGGAUCCGAGCGUUAUCCGGAUUUAUUGGGUUUAAAGGGAGCGUAGAUGGGUUGUUAAGUCAGUUGUGAAAGUUUGCGGCUCAACCGUAAAAUUGCAAUUGAUACUGGCAGCCUUGAGUACAGGUGAGGUAGGCGGAAUUCGUGGUGUAGCGGUGAAAUGCGUAGAUAUCACGAAGAACUCCGAUGGCGAAGGCAGCUUACUAAACUGCCACUGACGUUGAUGCUCGAAAGUGUGGGUAUCAAACAGGAUUAGAUACCCUUGUAGUC
This 460-nucleotide ribosomal RNA is filed under the name uncultured bacterium. RNAcentral's name for it is "partial 16S ribosomal RNA". It matches the Rfam family "Bacterial small subunit ribosomal RNA", at positions 338 to 795 of the family's 1533-position model. The record is from RNAcentral.